Molecule: ribosomal RNA, 595 nt
Filed under: Microbacterium sp. 09WSH1-22
Lineage: Bacteria; Bacillati; Actinomycetota; Actinomycetes; Micrococcales; Microbacteriaceae
Description: bacterial SSU rRNA
Rfam family: Bacterial small subunit ribosomal RNA
Source: RNAcentral
UAACACGUGAGCAACCUGCCCUGGACUCUGGGAUAAGCGCUGGAAACGGUGUCUAAUACCGGAUAUGAGCCACGGCCGCAUGGUCGGUGGUUGGAAAGAUUUUUUGGUCUGGGAUGGGCUCGCGGCCUAUCAGCUUGUUGGUGAGGUAAUGGCUCACCAAGGCGUCGACGGGUAGCCGGCCUGAGAGGGUGACCGGCCACACUGGGACUGAGACACGGCCCAGACUCCUACGGGAGGCAGCAGUGGGGAAUAUUGCACAAUGGGCGGAAGCCUGAUGCAGCAACGCCGCGUGAGGGAUGACGGCCUUCGGGUUGUAAACCUCUUUUAGCAGGGAAGAAGCGUGAGUGACGGUACCUGCAGAAAAAGCGCCGGCUAACUACGUGCCAGCAGCCGCGGUAAUACGUAGGGCGCAAGCGUUAUCCGGAAUUAUUGGGCGUAAAGAGCUCGUAGGCGGUUUGUCGCGUCUGCUGUGAAAUCCCGAGGCUCAACUUCGGGCUUGCAGUGGGUACGGGCAGACUAGAGUGCGGUAGGGGAGAUUGGAAUUCCUGGUGUAGCGGUGGAAUGCGCAGAUAUCAGGAGGAACACCGAUGGCGAA